GACGAACGCUGGCGGCGUGCCUAAUACAUGCAAGUAGAACGCUGAAGGAGGAGCUUGCUUCUCUGGAUGAGUUGCGAACGGGUGAGUAACGCGUAGGUAACCUGCCUGGUAGCGGGGGAUAACUAUUGGAAACGAUAGCUAAUACCGCAUAAUAGUAGAUGUUGCAUGACAUUUGCUUAAAAGGUGCAAUUGCAUCACUACCAGAUGGACCUGCGUUGUAUUAGCUAGUUGGUGAGGUAACGGCUCACCAAGGCGACGAUACAUAGCCGACCUGAGAGGGUGAUCGGCCACACUGGGACUGAGACACGGCCCAGACUCCUACGGGAGGCAGCAGUAGGGAAUCGUCGGCAAUGGACGGAAGUCUGACCGAGCAACGCCGCGUGAGUGAAGAAGGUUUACGGAUCGUAAAGCUCUGUUGUAAGAGAAGAACGAGUGUGAGAGUGGAAAGUUCACACUGUGACGGUAUCUUACCAGAAAGGGACGGCUAACUACGUG
RNAcentral lists this ribosomal RNA (495 nucleotides) under uncultured bacterium. Its description in RNAcentral is "partial 16S ribosomal RNA". It matches the Rfam family "Bacterial small subunit ribosomal RNA", at positions 28 to 507 of the family's 1533-position model. The record is from RNAcentral.